AGGGAGAGGGAGAGGGACUCCUGCGGAAACAGGGACAGCAACAGGGACAGGGACCCCGGUAGGGACAGGUACAGGGAGAGGGACCUGCAUAGGGACCCCUGUGGGGCCAGGAAAAGGGACCCCCGUGGAGACAGGGACAGGGACCCCCGCGAGGACAGGGAGCUGCUCAGGGAUAGGGAGCCCUGGAUAGGGACCCCUGCGGGGACAGGGACAAGGACCCCCGCGGGCACGGGGACUCGCUCAGGGACAGGGAUGGGAAUGGGGGUGGAGAUGGGGAUAGGGACCCCCGUGGGCAUGGGGACCUGCUCAGCGAUAGGGACAGGGAUGGAGACUCCCGCAGGGAGGGGGACUCACUCAGGGACAGGGAGCUC
RNAcentral lists this long non-coding RNA (371 nucleotides) under Serinus canaria (Common canary). Its description in RNAcentral is "lncRNA (ENSSCAG00000008170.1)". Lineage: Eukaryota; Metazoa; Chordata; Aves; Passeriformes; Fringillidae. The record is from RNAcentral.